This is a long non-coding RNA of Osmia lignaria (orchard mason bee), 5180 nucleotides long. RefSeq lists it as uncharacterized. The record is from RefSeq and is a predicted model, not a curated record. Lineage: Eukaryota; Metazoa; Arthropoda; Insecta; Hymenoptera; Megachilidae.
CUCGGUAAACUUCGUCCGUAACUUUCCGCGUUCCACCGUAACGCUUCGCAUUUUUAACUCGAAAUUGUACGCUGUAAUUAAACCUCGCGAAUUUUUUCGCGUGCAAAAAAAAAUGCAGGUGGAAAGAAAGAAAAUUGUGAACAGUUCCGGACGGUCGUAAAAAUAAUUUACACGCGUCUCUGGUGUCAGGUCGGGCGGCCGUCUUAAGCAGCGAUAACGGGUCCCAAUUAGCCUGGCUGUGAAACUACAUAUUCCAUCUCCCAUUUACGACGACAUAAUGCUACCUGUUUCACGCGAAGCCACGUAUAAUUGCAGACUAAUGCUCGAGCGUCCGCAAUCGUGGCAGGUGGCACAUAAUCGUGGCCUCGUAACCCUCGAACGAGUUAAUCCGUGAGGCGUCGCGGUGCGUCGCGUCGCGACGCGACGCUUCCAACCACCAACCGUCAUUGUAGUCGUGACUGGUGAGAUCGUCGAGUUAGAGGCGACGCGACGUUUAAAAGUAGCUAUAGCAAGUCUGAUCCGCUUACCGGGUUUAAAAGUCGAGUGCUAACAGCGUAAUUCAUCCCAUCAAGGAAAGAAGGGUCAGAGGAAAUCGGCCAUGAAAAGUUUCUGAGGAAAAUGGAAAGAAAGAAGUAGCUGGAACUGCUAGUGGACGAACGAAUAAAGCUAUUUAACAAAUUUACACUAUGGGUGGCAAUAUUGAGUAAUCUGACGAAAAUAAUGAUAAAGAUGAUAAGGAAGCGUUAAGCACUGUUCUUAACAGAUUAAUUUGUUCUGUAACACUGGGACAUAAGUAAAUUACACCAUAACUUACAGCGAUGGUAAAUUUACAGCCAUGAAUAUAAUCUUCAAAGUUACACGAUUUAUCACUAUUCCAGAAUUUAUGUGGUAAAGGUAUCUCCUAUUAAGUAAAUUAGUUCAACACUAUCCACGGUGUACAGAUAUUCUGGGAAAACUUGUCAAUCAGAGACAGAGAGAAUUAACGUGAAAUCUUCUCGUGCCAGUUAGUCGGUACGAAUAGUACUCGAUUAAGCAGUUUGCCAAGUCGCACAACAGUUCGAUGUGAGAGGAGCUUAAACUUGGAGUUGAUGACACCUGUAUUGCUACCGUGAGACAGAGACUAAGAAACAGAGGUACGAAUAGAGGAUGGCUGAAUUUGCUAGGAUUUCCCUGACUGAUCAACGUUUCGUUAUCCUCCCCGAUCAGCUUGGUAAAAAGCACUCCGCAUGGAACAAAAUAUUCAACGAACAAGAAAAAUGUCCCGAAGGACAGUACGAAAAAAUGUUUAUCAGCCGGUUGCUUUGCAUACACGAAGGGAACCAUGACUGGUAGGGGGAGGCCGGAGCAUUGUGCGCAGAAUUUCCACGGGGGAGGAGAAUUCAUGGGGUAAUUCCGUGUUCGAUACACCGUGUGCGCUUAAGGCUGCGAUGUUACCGGCGUCACAUAAGCGUAAUACCGGAUAAGCCGCAAUAAUGCAGACCCGCUGUGCGUGCAUGCGAAAGUGGAAUGGAUCCUGCUGCUUGGAGAGCUUCAAGAGCCAAACGUCCGUGGAGCGUAAUCAUUGUAGCGAGAUACGAAUGGGGCCCUUCGCGAACCCACGUACAAAUCCGCGAAAACUUUUUCCUAGCGCGGUGAAAGCUUUGCGAGCUUCAGAAUCGUCCGUCGUGCGAUUGACUCUUGCGCGAUAAGCUUUUCUAGUUUUACCGCAUUUUAAGAUAAUAUUAAACUAAUUUGUUAUGGAAUAACUUCCAAUAAUCAGAACAAUGCUGGCGAAGGUUACCGUCAGCUAUUUAAUUAAUUUAAUUAGUUAUCAAAUAAUUGAUAAUACCUAUUACGGUGUAACGCUCUCAAAAUCUACCAUUUACUGCCCGUUAAUUUAAUCGAAUCAUGAAAUUAAUUAUUUUGCAGAACAUUUGGUAGCGACACUACACAAACGUUAACUGAUAUCUAUUAAUUUAAUCAUUAUCACUGCAUCAUUGAAUAUUCUCGUUCCCAGGGCUCCAAGAUGUUUUUCCACGAACGCGAUAUUAGGAUUUCCAGUCUAGUGUUAAUGAAUCAAGGAAUCUUCCCGAGAAAAUGCGGAAACAAUUGGCAAGAAGAUCAACGUUCCCCAUUCAGCCUCCGCUAUUAACUUACCCUCGGCACGUAGACGAGUAUGGGGGUGAAAUAAAGAGAAGAGAAAAAAAAAUGAAGAAGGACACGGAGUCGCGGUCGCCAUAAUUUAGCGUUGGUAUUACUACUGAAUUCCCGGUUACUUUAUCUCUAGCCGACGUUCUUUCUCCAAGAAUGUUUACGAUAAAGGGGUGAGAUCCUUUGUUUCCGCAUUUCCGACAUCGCUUUGAAAUUACUUUGCCGCCUUGGCCAAAUUCUCCUAUCCUUUUGUCCUAUUUCACCGUCUACUUAAAGUGUAUUUAAAACAAUACCGGUUAAUCGGCGAUGUUUCCAGAGAAAAGGAAUCCCGAGGACUCUUUCAAGGUAUAUCGUCCGAAAUGAAAUCAUAAAAACUACGCGAAAGAGACGGAUAAGGAGAAGAAGGAAGAUAGAUCUGGCCGUGACAAAAUCGGUGCCGUAAAAUGGCGGGCACAAUGAAAGAAUAAAAUCCUUUUCGUGGGGGUAAUUAGCGUGAGAAGCAUUAAGGAGACACGAGGCAAUUUCGAGGGACCAUUUUUCACGGUAAUCUAAGGCACUGCCGCCCACACCACCGGCUUGGAUCGGUGUCUUCAUUUCGCUUCACGGUCCGACGGUGAAAAUCGUCCAGAAUACCCGCCCCUCGGCGAAGGAUUAGGAACCGUGAACACAAUGGGGAAAUGGAAAAAAUCGUCCAGGAAAUGGUGGACCAUAGCUUGGGACGUCUUAGGACGGCUCGUUUACGAUUUUCUUAAUUCGAUAAACAUUGUGCUAAUCGAUGCAAUUGCCGCUCUUAUGGACCGCCUGGAGCUUCGAUAGAAAUACCUGUAUAACCGGAGGACUCGUGAAUUCCGUCAAUUGUUCUGCGACUCGGUCAAGGCUGGUCGAGAAACGGGCGCAUAAAUUUCGUCUGAACGGCAUCAGCCCGAGAACGAUUUUCAGCAUUAUCCAGGCAGGCGAAGGAUAAUCCGGAUUUGUGCAAUCGGGCCCUCAGCUGCAACGGUUCAGCAACCGGAUGUGCAAACCGGCUCGGAUAAUAACUAGCCGCUUAUCGGACACUUAAGACGAUUUCGCAACGCUACUUGAAGCGUCUUUGAAACGCCUGCAGAAAUCGGAAAUGAUCCCGACCCUCCUUCACGAGAUCUCCAAUUCGAUUCAAUUUGAUCAGCGACAACGUUUGUUAACGUUUCAAAAUUCUUUCGAAACGAUACUCGAUGAAAUCGUAAAGUUUCUUUAACGAUCGUUUACGUAAUCAGCAUUGGUACGUUGCGUUUCGCGGUGGGAAUUAACCAUGAUUAUCAUGUGUAAUUAACGCGGCCGGGACGCAGUUUUGAAUUUAACAGAAAUUCGCUGAUGAAAGUCCACGAGAAGGUAUUGUUAAAAAUUUAAGCGACGCUCGCGAGGCAAUUUCAAAUGUAAAUUAUGGUCAGUGACUGGGAAAUGUGGCUGGGUUCCGCUCGUCGUUUCACAUAAAUCGCCUUGUCAACUAUCGUGUACCGUUUUUCUUUUUCCUUAGAAAUAACUUUGCUAUUCUUUGCUUUCCUCCCAUCAUUACAUGCUUCAAUUUUGAACUGAAAUAGACUGAAAAUUAAAGAAAACAGUGCAGAAACGCUAACGUUCUCCAGCUUCUUCAACUAUACUCAAAGUUCUGGACGAACGUCUUAAAGGGACAGAAUUAAUUUAUCUUAGAAAUUACGAUCAUCGUUCAGAUUAGAGCAGCUUAGAACUCGACAAAGAACGAACCAGGACUCGUUAAACUUUCCAGCUUCUGCAACAUUAAUAUUUAUAAGAUAACCUAUGCAAACGGUCGUCUGGGAGCUCGUCGAGCCUUUGUUAAGCUCUAUUAAAAUAUGUGAUCAACCAACACUCGUCCCUUUGCGUUGUGCGUGUACCCCCCCGGCCAGAAGUUCUCCAGUCUCGAUGGAAUUAAUUACAAUUACAGCAUCGUGUCUAGUUCGUUCUUCAGUCUCCGUUGUUCGUCUCGCACCUGCCACCUUUGUAACCUGCGAAUAAAGAGUAAUUCGAUGAAGGAGGGUUGAAAUUGUCGCAAAGUCUAUCUACCUAUUGUAAAAUAACCUCUUUGAUGAAAAUCCAAAUUAUUCGAUAAGAAAAAAGAAAAUACGAUACGUUACACGAUCAUCAUUUCCGAGAAACAGGGAAAUUUAUCGAGUAACAGAGAGGAAAGACUUGCGGAAGUACCGCGGUAACGAUACAAGGUCCGGAAUGGCGGGGAAGCAAGAAGGGGUGCGAUUAAUCGUCGACUAGCUGCUGGCACGCUCGAUUUCCUCGGGCGUCGAAAAAAGAGUGGAAGGAAACAAUUCGCGUUCUCGCGGAUUCCUUUUAAUUAAUUACACCGGUAACCAUCCAGACUGAAAAUAAUCGGAGCCCAUCCACGCCUGCGUUUGUCUUUGGUCGAUUAAUUAAUAUUGCAUCGGUCCCAUCGGCCAAAAAGGGGGUGGAGAGUCGCGUCGCGUCGUCGCUCGGUCCGGUAACGUCGACAUCAAAGCCGGCUUGAAAUUCACCCUAUUACACUCGACCUCAAUUUCAUUAACCAAAAGUACCGCGGUCCUCGAUCCCUUCCCCCCCUUUCAUCCCUCUUCGCGUCGAUGUGCAAACGUGUUCGUCUCGAAAACGCGUUCGCAGGUGGCCGUACAAGUGGUCGCGGCUCACAGACAGGUCUGGAAAUACGCUUAUAAUCGCGCGUUCAUCGCAAAGAUACAUCUCGUGGCCCUCAUUUCGCGAAACAUGAAAGCGUAAACCGUCCUACCAGUUAACGACCGUCUCAUCUCUUCAUUUUUCGAAUGAAUUCCGCGGAGAUAAGGCGUUCACAUCCCCUUUACGCUCGUAUACACGGAAAAUUUCACGUGGAAGAUGUCGCAUAGGGUCGAGUAAGAACAAGCAAUCCCCCCGAGGAUGGGAUACGGCUAUUUAUUAUACGCCGUCGUAACACCGAAUUCAUUGAACGGCGAAUUCAUUCGGCCGGCCAUUUUACGUGGAAUAAAGCUUGAAAAAAAAAAAGCCUCAGGAGGCAUAAAGCUGGCACGGGGUCACGA